RNAcentral lists this long non-coding RNA (1124 nucleotides) under Nicotiana tabacum (common tobacco). RNAcentral's name for it is "long non-coding RNA (NTAB_LNC010500)". The record is from RNAcentral. Lineage: Eukaryota; Viridiplantae; Streptophyta; Magnoliopsida; Solanales; Solanaceae.
UUCCUCUUUCGACAUUCCGUCAUAUAUAAGUCAAUUACAACAUAGUCAAAUGUCAUUUCCACAAGCAUCUAUGUUUAUCAACUACAUACAUAAUUGGAUAUCAAACUAUUUUUUUGAUUCUCAGAGCUUGGGCUUGUGCAUAGCAUGAUCAUCAGAAUGAGUACCUGUAACUCAUGUAUCUCAUUUCAACUCCACAAACUAAUCAGAGUACACUAUGAAAAGUUUAUCCACUCCUUCCAUAAAAUUACUAACUUAUCAGGUUUGGGCUCGGGUUCAGCACUGGCCAUUCCACACUAGUUUUUUUUAUUAAUAAGGGACAGUUUUAGGAGCUUGGGGUCGUCAGGGACCUUUUGGGAAGGCUGAAAAAGUUUUAGGGUUAUUUUGGGAAAACUGGCCUAACAGACGUGGUAUCCCCAGUUCUGACGCAUAUCCUUCAAAAAAACCGGCGCCGCACUGGUUAGCCUAACACACGGUUCAUAAUCUCCUUCUAAUCUAUUGGUUUAUCGUAAGUUGUACCGUCUUUGAACACUUUUCUCUCCAGGUCGUCUGCUCUUUUCUUGCACUUCGAUGGAUUAUUGUGGUAAUUAUCCUUCUUUCUUAUCUGCAACUUCUUGUACCAUGGCUUCCAUAUUUCAUGGGAUACAUACUAGGAUCUAAUAUUCUACUGCGGAAACCAAUUAAACCAACACUUAAUGGAGUAAUAAAAUCAAACACAUCAGAAAAUCAAUGAGUGAAAUAUUAAUUGGGAACUGACCUCACUGCCUUUUCUAUUCUCUGUAUCAAAAUUGAUUGUAAAACCUAGCUCUGUAGCAAGAGGAAACACAAGUUGCUCUCCGUCAACGUGUGUGCUAACAUGUAAUAGGUGACGCAAUUGAUUAUUGCACCAUUCUCUUGGACUUUUGGGUAACUAUUUGAUAUUGUCGCUGAAGCUUGAGUUUUUUUUUUGCGUGAAGAAGAAUUGGGUAAAAGUUCUUAGGCAAAACUACUGUGCUAUAGGUGUUUGAUAAAUUUCUUAAAAGAAACUAAGUUUUCAUUAAACUUGUAGAUUUCUUUUCUGAUCUUGAGUUCUGUUUGAUCAUGGCUAUAUAGUUUACCGGCUCAAGACAGAAAAGCAAUUUAUCCUU